UUCGGAUCGUAAAGCUCUGUUGUUAGGGAAGAACAAGUACCGUUCGAAUAGGGCGGUACCUUGACGGUACCUAACCAGAAAGCCACGGCUAACUACGUGCCAGCAGCCGCGGUAAUACGUAGGUGGCAAGCGUUGUCCGGAAUUAUUGGGCGUAAAGGGCUCGCAGGCGGUUUCUUAAGUCUGAUGUGAAACCCCCCGGCUCAACCGGGAAGGGUCAUUGGAAACUGGGGAACUUGAGUGCAAAAAAGGAAAGGGGAAUUCCACGUGUAGCGGUGAAAUGCGUAAAGAUGUGGAGGAACACCAUUGGCAAAGGCGACUCUCUGGUCUGUAACUGACCCUAAGGAGCGAAAGCGUGGGGAGCGAACAGGAUUAAAUACCCUGGUAGUCCACCCCGUAAACAAUGAGUGCUAAGGGUUAGGGGGUUUCCCCCCCUUAGGGCUGCAGCUAACGCAUUAAGCACUCCCCCGGGGGAGUACGGCCGCAAGAUUGAAACUCAAAGGAAUUGACGGGGGCCCCCACAAGCGGGGGAGCAGGUGGUUUAAUUCAAAGCAACGCGAAAAACCUUACCAGGUCUUGACUUCCUCUGACAAUCCUAAAAAUAGGACUU
RNAcentral lists this ribosomal RNA (607 nucleotides) under bacterium. Its description in RNAcentral is "partial 16S ribosomal RNA". It matches the Rfam family "Bacterial small subunit ribosomal RNA", at positions 417 to 1014 of the family's 1533-position model. The record is from RNAcentral.